RNAcentral lists this ribosomal RNA (491 nucleotides) under uncultured bacterium. RNAcentral's name for it is "partial 16S ribosomal RNA". It matches the Rfam family "Bacterial small subunit ribosomal RNA", at positions 29 to 507 of the family's 1533-position model. The record is from RNAcentral.
AGUGAACGCUGGCGGUAGGCCUAACACAUGCAAGUCGAACGGCAGCACAGUAAGAGCUUGCUCUUACGGGUGGCGAGUGGCGGACGGGUGAGGAAUACAUCGGAAUCUACUUUUUCGUGGGGGAUAACGUAGGGAAACUUACGCUAUACCGCAUACGACUUACGGGUGAAAGCAGGGGAUCUUCGGACCUUGCGCGAUUGAAUGAGCCGAUGUCGGAUUAGCUAGUUGGCGGGGUAAAGGCCCACCAAGGCGACGAUGCGUAGCUGGUCUGAGAGGAUGAUCAGCCACACUGGAACUGAGACACGGUCCAGACUCCUACGGGAGGCAGCAGUGGGGAAUAUUGGGCAAUGGGCGCAAGCCUGAUCCAGCCAUACCGCGUGGGUGAAGAAGGCCUUCGGGUUGUAAAGCCCUUUUGUUGGGAAAGAAAAGCAGCAGGUUAAUACCCCGCUGUUCUGACGGUACCCAAAGAAUAAGCACCGGCUAACUUCGUG